RNAcentral lists this unclassified non-coding RNA (157 nucleotides) under soil metagenome. RNAcentral describes it as "partial internal transcribed spacer 1". The record is from RNAcentral.
CAGGACUCGCAAGACUCCUACAACCCUGUGAACCUACUAUACGAACGUUGCUUCGGCGGGUGCGCCCCGGGGAUUCGUUCCCGCGGCGCGUCAGCCCGCCGGCAGCCUACAAAUUCUGUUUCUUUGCGUAGGCAUCUCGAGAAAAACAAAUAAGUUA